Molecule: ribosomal RNA, 433 nt
Filed under: uncultured bacterium
Lineage: Bacteria
Description: partial 16S ribosomal RNA
Rfam family: Bacterial small subunit ribosomal RNA
Source: RNAcentral
AACGAACGCUGGCGGCAUGCCUAACACAUUCAAGUCGAACGAGACCUUCGGGUCUAGUGGCGCCCGGGUGCGUAACGCGUGGGAACCUGCCCUUUGGUUCGGAAUAACUCCCCGAAAGGGGUGCUAAUACCGGAUAAUGUCUUCGGACCAAAGAUUUAUCGCCUUUGGAUGGGCCCGCGUUGGAUUAGCUAGUUGGUAGGGUAAAAGCCUACCAAGGCGACGAUCCAUAGCUGGUCUGAGAGGAUGAUCAGCCACACUGGGACUGAGACACGGCCCAGACUCCUACGGGAGGCAGCAGUGGGGAAUAUUGGACAAUGGGCGAAAGCCUGAUCCAGCAAUGCCGCGUGAGUGAUGAAGGCCUUAGGGUUGUAAAGCUCUUUUACCCGGGAUGAUAAUGACAGUACCGGGAGAAUAAGCGCCGGCUAACUCCGUG